AUAUCCAGAGGGAUAAAUUCGUCAUUCUUUUGAACACACCAGCUCCUCUUCUCCAAGCAGCCACCGCUGCUCCUCUUCUCCUUUCAUUCUCCAACCGGGGUUGCUUCCUCUCAAGCUCAUUAGUCAGUUGUUCCUACAUUUAUUCACCGAAUCACCGAUGCAAAAAUGAUUUUUGGAAAAAGGCCAGAGAAUGCUGACAAUGCAGUUGGAACAUGAAUAUUGGAACUCCUCUGCCACCUGGAAAAAGGUAUGAAAUUGCUCUUGCAGGGAGUUUUUAAAAAUAAAAAAUUCGAAGAAAAGAUUUGAUAAAUGCUACUGAUGAUCAGAUAAACUUUGCAAAUGUGAGGAAUAAAGAAGAUGAUAUGUUACUAUUAGAAUGUGAAUAUGAUAAGGCAAGUUUUGAAAGAAUCUUCAUUUUACAAGAUUAGAUGGGAUAUCCAUAUUUCCUUCCUUCUGAUCUGUUAUUUGGAAUUCAAAGCAAUAUGUUGUAGUUUCGAUUUUUUUUUUUUUGGCUGGUUCAAUGAUUCAGCUCUAUUGUUCUUGUUAUUUGAAAACUCAACUGCUUUUAGGAUUUGUAGUAGAAAUUACCUGAAAUUUUGGUGUCCA
Nicotiana attenuata is the source of this 606-nucleotide long non-coding RNA. RefSeq lists it as uncharacterized. The record is from RefSeq and is a predicted model, not a curated record. NCBI's taxonomy places the organism in Eukaryota, Viridiplantae, Streptophyta, Magnoliopsida, Solanales, Solanaceae. The transcript has 2 exons.